GGUUAAGCGACUAAGCGUACACGGUGGAUGCCCUGGCAGUCAGAGGCGAUGAAGGACGUGCUAAUCUGCGAAAAGCGUCGGUAAGGUGAUAUGAACCGUUACAGCCGGCGAUGUCCGAAUGGGGAAACCCAGUGUGAUUCGUCACACUAUCGUUAACUGAAUACAUAGGUUAACGAGGCGAACCGGGGGAACUGAAACAUCUAAGUACCCCGAGGAAAAGAAAUCAACC
RNAcentral lists this ribosomal RNA (229 nucleotides) under Klebsiella aerogenes. Its description in RNAcentral is "partial 23S ribosomal RNA". It matches the Rfam family "Bacterial large subunit ribosomal RNA", at positions 1 to 230 of the family's 2925-position model. The record is from RNAcentral. Lineage: Bacteria; Pseudomonadati; Pseudomonadota; Gammaproteobacteria; Enterobacterales; Enterobacteriaceae. RNAcentral also lists the same sequence under 2 other names.